RNAcentral lists this ribosomal RNA (229 nucleotides) under uncultured bacterium. Its description in RNAcentral is "partial 16S ribosomal RNA". It matches the Rfam family "Bacterial small subunit ribosomal RNA", at positions 568 to 796 of the family's 1533-position model. The record is from RNAcentral.
CUUGUAGGCGGCUUGGUAAGUCGGAUGUGAAAGUCCCGGGCUCAACCCGGGAAGUGCAUUCGAAACUGCUAGGCUUGAGUAAGAGAGAGGAAAGUGGAAUUCCUGGUGUAGAGGUGAAAUUCGUAGAUAUCAGGAGGAACACCGGUGGCGAAGGCGACUUUCUGGCUCUAUACUGACGCUGAGACGCGAAAGCGUGGGUAGCAAACAGGAUUAGAUACCCUGGUAGUCC